Molecule: ribosomal RNA, 491 nt
Filed under: uncultured bacterium
Lineage: Bacteria
Description: partial 16S ribosomal RNA
Rfam family: Bacterial small subunit ribosomal RNA
Source: RNAcentral
AGUGAACGCUGGCGGUAGGCCUAACACAUGCAAGUCGAACGGCAGCACAGUAAGAGCUUGCUCUUACGGGUGGCGAGUGGCGGACGGGUGAGGAAUACAUCGGAAUCUACUUUUUCGUGGGGGAUAACGUAGGGAAACUUACGCUAAUACCGCAUACGACCUACGGGUGAAAGCAGGGGAUCUUCGGACCUUGCGCGAUUGAAUGAGCCGAUGUCGGAUUAGCUAGUUGGCGGGGUAAAGGCCCACCAAGGCGACGAUCCGUAGCUGGUCUGAGAGGAUGAUCAGCCACACUGGAAAUGAGACACGGUCCAGACUCCUACGGGAGGCAGCAGUGGGGAAUAUUGGACAGUGGGCGCAAGCCUGAUCCAGCCAUACCGGGUGGGUGAAGAAGGCCUUCGGGUUGUAAAGCCCUUUUGUUGGGAAAGAAAAGCAGCAGGUUAAUACCCCGCUGUUCUGACGGUACCCAAAGAAUAAGCACCGGCUAACUUCGU